AGGGCGCAUGGGGGAUGUCUUGGCAUCAGGAGGCGAUGAAGGGCGUGGAAGUCUGCGAAAUGCUCGGGGGAGCUGACAAACAAGUGAUGAUCCCGAGAUUCCCGAAUUAGCUCGUAGUGAAUACAUAGCUACGUUGCGGCCAACGCAGGGAACUGAAACAUCUCAGUACCUGCUGGAAGAGAAAGAAAAAUCGAUUUCGUUAGUAGCGGCGAGCGAAAGCGAAACAGCCCAAACCGCGGGGGUUUCCCCUGCGGGGUUGUAGGGCCUUUCACAUGAGAGUCACAAAAUUGCCGACUAGCAGAACGGCUUGGAAUGGCCGACCACAGAGGGUGACAGUCCCGUAAGCGAAAAUCGGCAGUCUCUCGAGAGGUACCUGAGUAGGUCGGGCCACGUGGAAUCCCGACUGAAUCUACGGGGACCAUCCCGUAAGGCUAAAUACUCCCUGAUGACCGAUAGCGAACUCAGUAUGGCGACUGAAAGAUGAGAAGAACCCCUGCUAGGGGAGGAAUGUGAACCUGAAACCAUGCGCUUACAAGCGGUCGGAGCACUAUGGCCCGCAAGGGCAAUGUGUGACGGCGUGCCUUUUGCAUAAUGAUCCGGCGAGUUACCGUCAGCGGCUCGGUUAAGGCCUUCAGGGCCGAAGCCUCAGGGAAACCGAGUCUGAAUAGGGCGACUANNCGUGGAGGACCGAACCCACUUGGGUUGAAAACCGAGGGGAUGACUUGUGGGGAGGACUGAAAGUGUAAUCAAACCCAGAGAUAUCUCGUUCUCUCCGAAAUAGCUUUAGGGCUAGCCUUGAGCAACUACGCGUUGGGGGUAGAGACACUGAAUUGGUUUGGGGCUCUUCCCAGAGUACCCUGCCGAACCAAACUCCGAAUACCAAUGCGACUAUCUCAGGAGUCAGUCCGCGAGGGAUAAGCUUCGCGGUCGAGAGGGAAACAACCCAGAUUGCCUGCUAAGGUCCCCAAGUCAUGCUCAGUCACUAAGGAAGUUGAAUUGCCGUGACAACCAGGAUGUUGGCUUAGAAGCAGCCACCAUUUAAAAAGUGCGUAACAGCUUACUGGUCGAGCAAUUCUGCGCCGAUAAUGAUCGGGAGUAAAGUAUGAUACCGAAGCCGCGGAUUAAGUUGCCUUCGGGCAACUUAGUGGUAGAAGAGCGCUGGUAGCCAGAUACAAGCGGUACCGUAAGGAGCCGUGUCGGGGCGACCAGGUGAUUAUGCCGGAAUGAGUAACGAUAAAACAGGUGAGAAUCCUGUUCGCCGAAAGCCUAAGGUUUCCUGGGGAAGGUAAUUCCGCCCAGGGUUAGCCGGUACCUUAGUCGAGGCCGAAAGGCGUAGACGAUGGAGAGCAGGUCAAUAUUCCUGCGCCACUGUCGUGGACUGAUGGAGGGACGGCGCAUUAAAGAUCAGCGGUACGACUAGAAAUGUCCGUGGAUCCUUCGGAGAUAGGGGAUAGGAAAAUCCGCCCCAUAUGUCAACGGAGGGGACCGACCGCGUUUAUGUUCGGGAAGUGAUCGGAAGUGCGUCCAAGAAAAGCUCCUAAAGGUUGAAACGACAUGACCGUACUAAAACUGACACAGGUAGGCGAGACGAGUAGUCUAAGGCGCUCGAGAGAACGGUGGUUAAGGAACUCUGCAAAAUGACCCCGUAAGUUCGCGAUAAGGGGUGCCUUUUGGGGUGAAAGCCCUGGGAGGCCGCAGUGAAUCGGCUCUAGCGACUGUUUAUCAAAAACACAGGUCUCUGCGAACACGUAAGUGGAUGUAUAGAGACUGACGCCUGCCCGGUGCCGGUAGGUUAAGGAAGAGGGUGAAAGCUCGCGACCGAAGCCCCGGUAAACGGCGGCCGUAACUAUGACGGUCCUAAGGUAGCGAAGUUCCUUGUCGGGUAAGUUCCGACCUGCAUGAAUGGCGUAACGACUGGAGCGCUGUCUCAACCACCGACUCGGUGAAAUUGUAGCCGUGGUGAAGAUGCCACGUACCCGCGGUUAGACGGAAAGACCCCGUGAACCUUCACUGUAGGCUGAUAUUGGGCUGAGGUAUGUCUUGUGUAGUAUAGGUGGGAGACUGUGAAGCGGAGGCGCCAGCUUUCGUGGAGUCAUCAGUGAAAUACCACCCUGGGGAUGCUUUAGUUCUAACACCGAUCCCGUGAAUCCGGGCGGUGGACAGUGUCAGUUGGGCAGUUUGGCUGGGGCGGUCUCCUCCCAAAAAGUAACGGAGGAGUCCAAAGGUACACUCAGCCUGGUUGGCAAUCAGGCUUAGAGCGCAAAGGUAGAAGUGUGCUUAACUGCGAGACUGAUCAGUCGAGCAGAUACGAAAGUAGGGCUUAGUGAUCCGGUGGUCCCGAAUGGAAGGGCCAUCGCUCAUCAGAUAAAAGGUACUCCGGGGAUAACAGGCUUAUCGCUUCCGAGCGUCCAUAGCGGCGAAGCGGUUUGGCACCUCGAUGUCGGCUCAUCACAUCCUGGGGGUGAAGAAGCUCCCAAGGGUUUGGCUGUUCGCCAAUGAAAGUGGUACGUGAGCUGGGUUCAGACCGUCGUGAGACAGGUCGGUCCCUAUCUGCCGUGGGCGUCCGAAACUUGAGGGGGUUCAACUUUAGUACGAGAGGAUUUAGUUGGACGUAGCUCUGGUGUACCAGUUGUCGCGCUAGCGGCACGGCUGGAUAGCUAACUACGGAAAGGAUAAACGCUGAAAGCAUCUAAGCGUGAAGCCCUCCCCGAGAUUAGGUUUCGUUCCCGUAAGGGUAAAGUCCCCUGGAAGACUACCAGGUCGAUAGGCCGGAUGUGUACGCAUGGUAACAUGCUUAGCUAACCGGUACUAAAGGACGAAUGCUUGGCCA
This 2830-nucleotide ribosomal RNA is filed under the name wastewater metagenome. RNAcentral's name for it is "bacterial LSU rRNA". It matches the Rfam family "Bacterial large subunit ribosomal RNA". The record is from RNAcentral.